CACUCCCAUCGAUCGUUGCCACCGCUGCCACCGCCGUCCGAGGGGGAGACGUCGCCGCCGCCGCUGCAAGGUAUGGCGGUUUGAAUCCCGCCCCGCCUCUGCAAGGCAGGGCGGUUUCAAUCCCACCGCCGCCGAACUCCGGGAAUCGCCGCCGCCAAGUCUCCAGGGCAGGGCGGUUUCAAACCCUGCCGACGAACUCCGGGAUACGCAUAAUCGUCGCUGCCGCCCCCUCCCCCGGCUGCCCCAUGGUCUUCUAUCUCUCCCAACUCCCCUGUCGCGCCCCGUCUUCCAUCUCUGCAUGAAUUGCUGUUGUGGCAGCCACUCCCCAUGGCGGCCAUCCGGGCACACCGUGUCCGGGAUGAUGGAGGUGAUGUCCGCCAGUUCCCUGUUUCCGUUGGCAUCUUCUGCGAUGGGACCCGUGGGGGCAGGUCGCGCGCUGCUCAUCUGUGUCGAUGGCGUCGGCGUCGUCCUUCCCCUGCAAAGCAUGGCGGCUCCUUGGCUGGAUCACAGUGAUGAUACAGUUGGCUCGGCGGCGACUAGAGAUCUCGCAGGCUGGCGUUUAUUUGAUGUCUGGGUGUUCCAAUCGUGAAGGAACAGACGUAUAAUGUACGGUAUAAGAAUUUGGACGAGGCUCAUCUGCGUGGAUGGUUGUGGCUUGGCCGCCGGGCACACAAUCCAUUGAUUCACACAUAAGACCGUAGCCAUCUACACCAAGACUCCUCUGCCCUACGGAGUCUUGCAAGCGAUCGUCGUAAGAAAUAUUCCGUGUGAUGCCGGCAUGUGUUGUUGUUGCAUUGUCGCAACCAUCCAUCUACACACCAAAUGUCAAAACCGAGUCGCGGUGUUCACAAUGCUGGGCAUUAUUUAUAUCGAAAGACGAGGAGGAAGAUUUGGAUGACCGUAACCACAAUGGCAAGGGCAGCAACAUGGUCGUCACCUACAAUGCCGAUGGGUGCUGACAUUAUGAUGUUUGGUUUAUUUGUUGAAAGUUACAGCCCAUGUUUCAUGAUUUAUUUGCCACCGGUUAAUCAUGAUAUUUUGAAGUGCUCUGACAAUUGCUUGCUGUCUGCAUCUCUUACUUUUCAACUUGCUGCAUAUACAGAUAUACAGCAUUAGAAUCUGUUUGUACAAUAUAUUUACUUAUUCAACAUGCUUCAGUUAUGCUUCUUUGAAAAUCCAGUUGUAGAUUGCAGUGAAGCCCCAUUUAGAUCUUGGCUAUAGUAUUAUUCUUGUCUUAUGACUCGUGACAGAUUGAUAUGUGAUACCAUGACAUAGCAUAUGUGCUACCGUGGUAGUCACAUUUGGUGGUAGUUCUGAUUGUUUGCUAGAUUACGAGAUAAGACCAAGUGCUUCUGCAACUCGGUUGCGGUUUUGAUAGGAACAUGAAGACUUGUGAUGCCAUGGAGCAUGUUUGAUUAAAAGGAGUAAGUCAACAUACAACUUGUUUCUUAUGUUUUAUUUAGAGAAAAUGAUUGUUCCUUGUGAGUCAUUUUCUUCUACAAAUGCACCAUAGUUGCUCCAAUAUAUUGAGCAGGGACGAAGUUUGUUACAAGUGUUUUAUAGAGUUGACGCCAGAGACAUCCGACGGGAUACAUUGGUGAAGGAAUCGAUGAAGAAGCUUCCGUUCAGCAUGGUAUCUCAAUGGAAGAAUAUCCGAAGCAAACCUCCGCUACUUCUCUGUUCCCUUUCAUUUGUCGUGGGAAGACCUUAGGAAGGUAGGAAGACCUUAGGAAGAGCGGGUGGGAGGAAGAGAGGCCUGUGCUAUAGAUGUAGGCGAACAAUGGUCCUUGGAAAUUAUUAGUACUCUACAAAAUGUCUGUCCCCUAUGAUGCCUACAAUGAGCGAGAGAGGGUGGAAGGAAGGGAGAGCGGAGGAAGGAAGAUGGGGAUAUAUG
Non-coding RNA from Aegilops tauschii subsp. strangulata, 1894 nucleotides. The record is from RefSeq and is a predicted model, not a curated record. NCBI's taxonomy places the organism in Eukaryota, Viridiplantae, Streptophyta, Magnoliopsida, Poales, Poaceae.